Molecule: ribosomal RNA, 496 nt
Filed under: uncultured bacterium
Lineage: Bacteria
Description: partial 16S ribosomal RNA
Rfam family: Bacterial small subunit ribosomal RNA
Source: RNAcentral
GAUGAACGCUGGCGGCGUGCCUAAUACAUGCAAGUCGAGCGAACGGACGAGAAGCUUGCUUCUCUGAUGUUAGCGGCGGACGGGUGAGUAACACGUGGAUAACCUACCUAUAAGACUGGGAUAACUUCGGGAAACCGGAGCUAAUACCGGAUAAUAUUUUGAACCGCAUGGUUCAAAAGUGAAAGACGGUCUUGCUGUCACUUAUAGAUGGAUCCGCGCUGCAUUAGCUAGUUGGUAAGGUAACGGCUUACCAAGGCAACGAUGCAUAGCCGACCUGAGAGGGUGAUCGGCCACACUGGAACUGAGACACGGUCCAGACUCCUACGGGAGGCAGCAGUAGGGAAUCUUCCGCAAUGGGCGAAAGCCUGACGGAGCAACGCCGCGUGAGUGAUGAAGGCCUUCGGAUCGUAAAACUCUGUUAUAGGGAAGAACAUAUGUGUAAGUAACUGUGCACAUCUUGACGGUACCUAAUCAGAAAGCCACGGCUAACUACGUG